UACGAAGGGGGCUAGCGUUGCUCGGAAUCACUGGGCGUAAAGGGUGCGUAGGCGGGUCUUUAAGUCAGGGGUGAAAUCCUGGAGCUCAACUCCAGAACUGCCUUUGAUACUGGGGAUCUUGAGUCCGGAAGAGGUGAGUGGAACUCCGAGUGUAGAGGUGAAAUUCGUAGAUAUUCGGAAGAACACCAGUGGCGAAGGCGGCUCACUGGUCCGGUACUGACGCUGAGGUGCGAAAGCGUGGGGAGCAAACAGG
Molecule: ribosomal RNA, 253 nt
Filed under: uncultured bacterium
Lineage: Bacteria
Description: partial 16S ribosomal RNA
Rfam family: Bacterial small subunit ribosomal RNA
Source: RNAcentral